GNGGCACCAUGACGUGAGAGAUGAGAUCUCGGGAGUGAUUGUGGCGGACGGGUGAGUACACGUGGGUACCUGCCUCAUAGAGGGGAACUAGCCCUUCCGAAAGGGAGAUUAUCCGCAUAACAUAGCACUACCGCAUGGUAGAGUUAUCAAAGGAGCAAUCCUGCUAUGAGAUGGACCCGCGGCGCAUUAGCUAGUUGGUGAGGUAACGGCUCACCAAGGCGACGGAUGCGGUAGCCGACCUGAGAGGGUGAUCGGCCACAAUUGGAACUGAGACACGGUCCAGACUCCUUCGGGAGGCAGCAGUGGGGAAUAUUGCGCAAUGGGGGAAACCCCUGACGCAGCAACGCCGCGUGAGUGAAGAAGGCCUUAGGGUUGUAAGCUCUGUCAUAUGGGAAGAUAUGACGGUCCAUAAGAGGAAGCCACGGCUACUACGUGCCAGCAGCCGCGGAAUCGUAGGUGGCGAGCGUGCCGGAUUNU
Molecule: ribosomal RNA, 477 nt
Filed under: Clostridium subterminale
Lineage: Bacteria; Bacillati; Bacillota; Clostridia; Eubacteriales; Clostridiaceae
Description: bacterial SSU rRNA
Rfam family: Bacterial small subunit ribosomal RNA
Source: RNAcentral